This 440-nucleotide ribosomal RNA is filed under the name uncultured bacterium. Its description in RNAcentral is "partial 16S ribosomal RNA". It matches the Rfam family "Bacterial small subunit ribosomal RNA", at positions 339 to 795 of the family's 1533-position model. The record is from RNAcentral.
CUACGGGUUGCUGCAGUGAGGAAUAUUGCACAAUGGGGGCAACCCUGAUGCAGCAACGCCGCGUGGAGGAUGACGCAUUUCGGUGUGUAAACUCCUUUUAUCAGAGAAGAACCAUGACGGUAUCUGAUGAAUAAGCUCCGGCUAACUCCGUGCCAGCAGCCGCGGUAAUACGGAGGGAGCAAGCGUUAUUCGGAAUCACUGGGCGUAAAGGACGCGUAGGCCGGUCUGUAAGUCAGGUGUGAAAUGCAAUGGCUCAACCAUUGAACUGCACUUGAAACUGCGGACCUAGAGUAUGGAAGGGGCAGAUGGAAUUAGUGGUGUAGGGGUAAAAUCCGUAGAUAUCACUAGGAAUACCGAAAGCGAAGGCGAUCUGCUGGGACAUAACUGACGCUGAGGCGUGAAAGCGUGGGGAGCAAACAGGAUUAGAUACCCCCGUAGUC